Molecule: ribosomal RNA, 853 nt
Filed under: uncultured Chloroflexota bacterium
Lineage: Bacteria; Bacillati; Chloroflexota
Description: bacterial SSU rRNA
Rfam family: Bacterial small subunit ribosomal RNA
Source: RNAcentral
GAUGAACGCUGGCGGCGUGCCUAACACAUGCAAGUCGAACGAGAACUCUGGUACUUGUAUCAGGGGGAGAGUGGCGAACGGGUGAGUAACACGUAGGUGACCUGCCCCGAGGCGGGGGAUAACUCUGGGAAAUCAGAGCUAAAACCGCAGAUGUCCAAAAGGUUAGAGUGAUUGGACUAAAACUCCGGUGCCUGGGGAGGGGCCUGCGGGCUAUCAGCUAGUUGGUGGGGUAAGAGCCUACCAAGGCGAAGACGGCUAGGGGGCGUGAGAGCGUGACCCCCCACAAGGGAACUGAGAGACGGUCCCUACUCCUACGGGAGGCAGCAGUGAGGAAUAUUGAGCAAUGGGCGCAAGCCUGACUCAGCAACGCCGCGUGGAUGAAGAAGGCCUUCGGGUUGUAAAAUCCUUUUCUGCGGGAAGAUAAUGACGGUACCGCAGGAAUAAGUUCCGGCUAACUACGUGCCAGCAGCCGCGGUAAAACGUAGGGGACAAGCGUUAUCCGGAUUUACUGGGCGUAAAGCGCCCGUAGGCGGCCUGAUAAGUUGGCUGUGAAAGCUCCCGGCUUAACUGGGAGAGGUCAGUCAAAACUGUGAGGCUAGAGGCUGGAAGAGGAGCGUGGAAUUCCCGGUGUAGUGGUGGAAUGCGUAGAGAUCGGGAGGAACACCAGUGGCGAAAGCGGCGCUCUGGUUCAGGCCUGACGCUGAGGGGCGAAAGCGUGGGGAGCGAACGGGAUUAGAUACCCCGGUAGUCCACGCUGUAAACGAUGGAUACUAGGUGUAGGCGGUCAUUAACCCCGUCUGUGCCGCAGCUAACGCGUUAAGUAUCCCGCCUGGGGAGUACGGCCGCAAGGUUA